Molecule: ribosomal RNA, 253 nt
Filed under: uncultured bacterium
Lineage: Bacteria
Description: partial 16S ribosomal RNA
Rfam family: Bacterial small subunit ribosomal RNA
Source: RNAcentral
UACGUAGGGCGCAAGCGUUGUCCGGAAUUAUUGGGCGUAAAGAGCUCGUAGGCGGCCUGUUGCGUCCGCUGUGAAAUCCCGGGGCUCAACCCCGGGCCUGCAGUGGAUACGGGCUGGCUAGAGGCAGGCAGGGGAGAACGGAAUUCCUGGUGUAGCGGUGAAAUGCGCAGAUAUCAGGAGGAACACCGGUGGCGAAGGCGGUUCUCUGGGCCUGUACUGACGCUGAGGAGCGAAAGCGUGGGGAGCGAGCAGG